This 200-nucleotide ribosomal RNA is filed under the name uncultured bacterium. Its description in RNAcentral is "partial 16S ribosomal RNA". It matches the Rfam family "Bacterial small subunit ribosomal RNA", at positions 8 to 229 of the family's 1533-position model. The record is from RNAcentral.
AGAGUUUGAUCCUGGCUCAGGAUAAACGCUGGCGGCGUGCCUAACACAUGCAAGUCGAACGCGCGUAGCAAUACGCGAGUGGCGGACGGGUGAGGAACACGUGGGAAUCUUCCCUCUGGGUGAGGAAUACCGGCGAGAAAUCGCCGACAAUACCGCAUAAUCUGCGAGAGCAGCAAAGCCGAAAGGCGCCUGAGGAUGAG